GACGAACGCUGGCGGCGUGCUUAACACAUGCAAGUCGAACGGAAAGGCCCUGCUUUUGUAGGGUGCUCGAGUGGCGAACGGGUGAGUAACACGUGAGUAACCUGCCCUUGACUUUGGGAUAACUUCAGGAAACUGGGGCUAUUACCGGAUAGGAGCUCCUGCGCCAUGGGGGGGGUGGGAAAGUUUCGGCGGUUGGGGAUGGACUCGCGGCUUAUCAGCUUGUUGGUGGGGUAGUGGCUUACCAAGGCUUUGACGGGUAGCCGGCCUGAGAGGGUGACCGGCCACAUUGGGACUGAGAUACGGCCCAGACUCCUACGGGAGGCAGCAGUGGGGAAUAUUGCACAAUGGGCGGAAGCCUGAUGCAGCAACGCCGCGUGCGGGAUGACGGCCUUCGGGUUGUAAACCGCUUUCGCCUGUGACGAAGCGUGAGUGACGGUAAUGGGUAAAGAAGCACCGGCUAACUACGUG
This 468-nucleotide ribosomal RNA is filed under the name uncultured bacterium. RNAcentral's name for it is "partial 16S ribosomal RNA". It matches the Rfam family "Bacterial small subunit ribosomal RNA", at positions 28 to 507 of the family's 1533-position model. The record is from RNAcentral.